Long non-coding RNA from Microplitis mediator, 786 nucleotides. RefSeq lists it as uncharacterized. The transcript has 3 exons. The record is from RefSeq and is a predicted model, not a curated record. Lineage: Eukaryota; Metazoa; Arthropoda; Insecta; Hymenoptera; Braconidae.
AAGUAUAUAGUGUAUUGUAUAUAUACAUAUACAUGUAUAAUAGCUUAGUUUGAAUGUAAUAGGUUGGUGUCCUGGUAUAUAGCUAAAAGCGUAACCGUUACCAGUUGUGUGGGUGACUUUGGGGUGUAAUUGCUGCAAUGGGCGGAUCAGAGUAAGCUUCGUGCUGAUGGGCGUGGCUCGCUGAUUACACCGCCGCGAUACUGAUAUCUUCGGCUUUUAUACCGCUUUUGUCCUAUACCGACUACCGCUCCCGUUAACCGAGGUAGAAGUGAAUAAAAGUCUAGACAAGACACGCGAUCUUGGAGCACGUACGGGGGUUGCAAGUAUUUUAGUUGACUACAGUACAGUACUAUGAUAAAAUAUAGUAUGGAUCGCAUGAUGAGUCUUUGGUGUCGCGCCGUCACCGCCGCAAAGAGACACACGUCGUCUGCAUACGAAAAUCCCAUCAGUAGCCACACGCAUCUGUAUCUGUCUGUCAUUGUCGCAGUAUCUACUUUUUUAAACUUUAAACUUUUAUUUAUUUCCCAUUCCCAUACGAGUAUGUAUUACUUAUUCUGUCGGCCAGACAACUGUGUCGCGCCUUGAUGUUCUGAUGUUAACACAUGACACCGUUGUAACUUCCAAAUUCCAUCGGCAAUUCAUCAGAUAUUCAUGUUAGCAAACUUAUGUUUCAAUCUUUUUUUUUUUUCUUUUUUUCAUACUAAUAAUCAAAUGUAAAAAGUUUAUCUUGUGUAAUGAUAAUGAAAUUUAAUUUUGGUAACUCUACUGCUUACUUUAUAAAUUUUG